UACGUAGGGAGCAAGCGUUGUCCGGAAUCAUUGGGCGUAAAGCGCGCGUAGGUGGCUUCGUAAGUCCGUUGUGAAAGUCAAAGGCUCAACCUUUGAAAGCCGAUGGAUACUGCGGAGCUAGAGUACGGAAGAGGCGAGUGGAAUUCCUGGUGUAGCGGUGGAAUGCGCAGAUAUCGGGAAGAACAUCAGUGGCGAAGGCGGCCUGCUGGGCUGUUGCUGACGCUGAGGCGCGACAGCGUGGGGAGCAAACAGG
RNAcentral lists this ribosomal RNA (253 nucleotides) under uncultured bacterium. Its description in RNAcentral is "partial 16S ribosomal RNA". It matches the Rfam family "Bacterial small subunit ribosomal RNA", at positions 524 to 776 of the family's 1533-position model. The record is from RNAcentral.